UAGGGAAUCUUCCACAAUGGNGAAGCCUGAUGGAGCAACGCCGCGUGUGUGAUGAAGGGUUUCGGCUCGUAAAACACUGUUGUAAGAGAAGAAUGACAUUGAGAGUAACUGUUCAAUGUGUGACGGUAUCUUACCAGAAAGGAACGGCUAAAUACGUGCCACCAG
This 165-nucleotide ribosomal RNA is filed under the name uncultured bacterium. RNAcentral's name for it is "partial 16S rRNA". It matches the Rfam family "Bacterial small subunit ribosomal RNA", at positions 355 to 514 of the family's 1533-position model. The record is from RNAcentral.